This 425-nucleotide ribosomal RNA is filed under the name uncultured bacterium. RNAcentral describes it as "partial 16S ribosomal RNA". It matches the Rfam family "Bacterial small subunit ribosomal RNA", at positions 354 to 796 of the family's 1533-position model. The record is from RNAcentral.
GUUAGGAAUAUUGGACAAUGGGCGCAAGCCUGAUCCAGCCAUGCCGCGUGAGUGAUGAAGGCCUUCGGGUUGUAAAGCUCUUUAGCCGAUGAUUAUAAUGACUGUAGUCGGAAAAUAAGCCCCGGCUAACUUCGUGCCAGCAGCCGCGGUAAUACGAAGGGGGCGAGCGUUAUUCGGAAUCACUGGGCGUAAAGCGUGCGUAGGCGGCUUUGCAAGUUGGGAGUGAAAGCCCAGGGCUCAACCCUGGAAUUGCUCUCAAAACUGCAAGGCUCGAAUUCGGGAGAGGAUAGCGGAAUUGUCAGUGUAGCAGUGAAAUGCGUAGAUAUUGACAGGAACACCAGUGGCGUAAGCGGCUAUCUUGACCGAUAUUGACGCUGAGGCACGAAAGCGUGGGGAUCAAACAGGAUUAGAAACCCUAGUAGUCC